This 2083-nucleotide long non-coding RNA is filed under the name Homo sapiens (human). RNAcentral's name for it is "HSALNT0380296". Lineage: Eukaryota; Metazoa; Chordata; Mammalia; Primates; Hominidae. The record is from RNAcentral.
UGAAAGCCAGGCCACUGACUGAAUGAUUAAGUCUGUGCUGGACAUGACAAUGAAUUUAACCCUCUUGCCAGCCUAGGAGAGCACACAGAUGCAGGAAGAGGAUUGAAAACCUACUUUUCAAUUUUCUCUUCUUCCUCACCCCUGCUCUAAUUUGCCUGACCUGUUUCCUUUCAAAACCUUGCUGUUAUCAGUACCUUGUCCAUUUUCACUCUGUUUCUCUUUGUAGACUAAUUCCUUGCUGCUUCCUCAUGGGAGAUAAACUCAUGCUCAUGUAAGAAGAACAUCUGUCUUGGGCUAGGAGGAGCACAGGAAGAUGCCUUUAUCUCAAGAGCUAGGAAAUAAGGCAACUGUAUUAAAUUGUCAAGGGAGGACAGCAGACCAACAAGGAUGAAGAAGCUUGAAAAAUUCUUCAUUGCAGGGUCCACUCAUUGUCUCUAAUGAUUUGCUGCUCCUCAAAAGAAUGUCUACACUCCCGAUCGCCCCUUUUGCCAUGAGAAAAGUUGAUUUUCACUGAACCUUCAGAGGGUGAAGAGGAAGCUUUUCCUUGACUUCUACACAGGCUGGAAAUAAAUAACCUCCGCUUAGGACACCCCUGGCAGGGGCUUUCCAAACCACUUCCAACCCUGGAGAGAAAGAUAAUGAUGUGCCCAAACAAAUCAAUGGUCCCUACUUGCACCUAUCAAACUGGCCAUGCCCAUGCCCAUUCUGGGCCCAUAUGGAAGCUCUCUUUGCACCUUUUGGUUGACCUCUGAGGAGCAGCUUGGAUACCUUCUUCCCCUUAACACUGUAGAGGCUCUCUGCAACAGAACUCCCUACAUCUCACAGCACCAGCCUCCGUUCUCCUACCAAGUGUGAUUUGUGUGUCUAGCCUUCUCUAGGACUUCUGCCAGAUUGGCCUCUCUUCAGGUACAGCUAGGAGAGCCACAUUCAAAACCAAGAAGAGAAAGGAGUCAUAGAGCCACAGCCAGAAUGUUUAGGAUCCAAGGUGGCUGCCAGGACUCCAGAUGUCACAUCCCUUUCCCAAGCAGCAGGAUGGAGAGAGAAAGAGAGAAGGUCGUCCAGUCUCUCUUUGAAAAGACUUCCUGGAAGAAUUGCACAUCUGCAGAUGUUCCGUGGAGCAUCAUCACCAAAAAUGCACACGAAACUGCCACUAGAAGCAAAUGGAGGAAGCACACAGCAGGACUGGGUGUCUUUAAUUGCCAUUGCGGUGAGAGGUUUAUUUGCUCUUUUAAACAAUUAAUUCUAACGUGUACUUGAGUCGCUAGUAACUAAUAUCUGUAUAGGUAGAAAUACUUUAAAUAAAUGGCAAUGAUCAUACUGGAAUGCACAAAUAACAGGCUAUUUGACCUGGAAGGAGAGUUUCAUAGUCAUUGAAUCUAAUAUGCUUAUUUGACUAACAGAACGUGUGUCCAUCUGCACCACGUGAAUGAUUUGCGGCACAGCCGGGACCUGGCUCAGUUCUCUUGACACAUACAUCAACUCACAAGCACUGAAGUGGCAAGGCUGUUUGCAGAAGACAUUUAAGGCAAAAAUAGAUUGCAUCUUAAAAUCUCCUUACAGGACAUAGGUGGCACAUUGAAGAAAGCUUCAAUGCAACAAUAAUUUACAAUAACAUGGGCACAGUAAUGGAAAACAGCAAAGAACUGUGAGGAACUUUGCUGGCACUUUUUCCAGGGCCAGCAGCUGGAAAGAGGGGCCACAAAACAUCAGCAAGGAAACUGCUGUUCUAAAAGAAAGACACAAGAAGCUGUGCUUCCAGAAGAGAAAAGUAGUCACUGCCACCCCAGGAACCUGGCAUGGAGGGAUGCAGUGGUGUAAUACCACUCUCUCCUUGCACCACCCACAAGCCCAGCCCAUCCUGGGGACAGACGCAUGCUGAAAGUGGAGGUCGGGUCUGGAAGGGCAAAAGCAGAUGGCCCAGCAUAGCCCACCACUUUUCUUUGUCAACAUCAAGUAUUUCUGUGUCUGUACGAAAAACCAAGGUUCUGUCCCAGGGAAAUGACGGAGUCCCAUCAGCUACAGGAUCAUAACAAGGAGAUGUCAAUUCAGUCAUACUCGCCUGAAAGCUACAGCACCUUGAACG